Molecule: long non-coding RNA, 2923 nt
Filed under: Homo sapiens (human)
Lineage: Eukaryota; Metazoa; Chordata; Mammalia; Primates; Hominidae
Description: non-protein coding lnc-PHYKPL-1:1
Source: RNAcentral
GCAACGGUUGGGGCUGCGCGUGAGAAGGUGGCGGUGUAGGCACCUGUGCUCGGGGAAGGCUGGCGGCGGCGGCCGGGCCAUGGCCAGAGACCCCCUCCUCUGGGCUCCCUGAAGUCCUGGGGAGCCGUGACCCAUGGGAUCGUCGAGCAGCCGGGUGCUGGGCCAGCCGAGGCGAGCCCUUGCCCAGCAGGAACAGGGUGCCAGGGCCAGGGGCUCGGCCCGGAGGCCGGACACUGGAGACGAUGCGGCGAGCUACGGCUUCUGUUACUGCCCGGGCAGUCACAAGCGCAAGCGGAGCAGCGGGGCCUGCCGCUACUGUGACCCGGACUCGCACAGGGAGGAGCAUGAGGAGGAGGGGGACAAGCAGCAGCCGCUCCUCAACACCCCUGCAAGGAAAAAAUUAAGGAGUACAUCCAAAUAUAUUUAUCAAACAUUAUUUUUGAAUGGUGAAAACAGUGACAUUAAGAUUUGUGCUCUAGGAGAAGAAUGGCGAUUACACAAAAUAUAUUUAUGUCAAUCUGGCUACUUUUCUAGUAUGUUCAGUGGUUCUUGGAAAGAAUCCAGCAUGAAUAUUAUUGAACUGGAGAUUCCUGACCAGAACAUUGAUGUAGACGCACUGCAGGUUGCGUUUGGUUCACUGUAUCGAGAUGAUGUCUUGAUAAAACCCAGUCGAGUUGUUGCCAUUUUGGCAGCAGCUUGUAUGCUGCAGCUGGAUGGUUUAAUACAGCAGUGUGGUGAGACAAUGAAGGAAACAAUUAAUGUGAAAACUGUAUGCGGUUAUUACACAUCAGUAGAGAUCUAUGGAUUAGAUUCUGUAAAGAAAAAGUGCCUUGAAUGGCUUCUAAACAAUUUGAUGACUCACCAGAAUGUUAAACUUUUUAAAGAACUCGGUAUAAAUGUCAUGAAACAGCUCAUUGGUUCCUCUAACUUAUUUGUGAUGCAAGUGGAGAUGGAUGUAUACACCACUCUAAAAAAGUGGAUGUUCCUUCAACUUGUGCCUUCUUGGAAUGGAUCUUUAAAACAGCUUUUGACAGAAACAGAUGUCUGGUUUUCUAAACAGAGAAAAGAUUUUGAAGGUAUGGCCUUUCUUGAAACUGAACCAGGAAAACCAUUUGUGUCAGUAUUCAGACAUUUAAGGUUACAAUAUAUUAUCAGUGACCUAGCUUCUGCAAGAAUUAUUGAACAAGAUGGUAUAGUACCUUCAGAAUGGCUGUCUUCUGUGUAUAAACAGCAGUGGUUUGCUAUGCUGCGGGCAGAACAAGACCGUGAGGUAGGGCCUCAAGAAAUCAAUAAAGAAGACCUAGAGGGAAAUAGCAUGAGGUGUGGUAGAAAGCUUGCCAAAGAUGGUGAAUACUACUGGUGUUGGACGGGUUUUAACUUCGGCUUUGACCUACUUGUAAUUUACACCAAUGGAUACAUCAUUUUCAAACGCAAUACACUGAAUCAGCCACGCAGCGGGUCUGUCAGUUUACGGCCUCGAAGGAGCAUAGCAUUUAGAUUACGCUUGGCUUCUUUUGAUAGUAGUGGAAAACUAGUAUGUAGUAGAACAACUGGCUAUCAAAUACUUAUACUUAAAAAGGAUCAGGAACAAGUGGUGAUGAACUUGGACAGCAGGUUUCUGACCUUCCCUUUAUAUAUCUGCUGUAACUUCUUGUAUAUAUCACCAGAAAAAGGAAUUGAAAAUAAUCGUCACCCAGAAAAUCCAGAAAACUGAAGAUCUCAUCAGUUGGAAACAGUAGCACUUUGAAAACUUUCAGGCCAGCUUUAAUUUAAUGGCCCUACUGAUAUUCACAUCUAAGUUGACUAACAAUGACAAAGGCCUUAUGAACUGUACGGACAAUACAGAAGACUAUUCUUAUCCUCAUUGCAUUUCUAUGCAUAUACAAAAAAAAUCAUUUUAAAGCCAAGAAAAUAUCUGUCAAACCAUUUCUGUCAGUACGAUGUCAACUCAUGCUUUUAAUUCAGCAUCAGCAGAAAAUGACUGUAGGUAAAUCUCACAUUUAUCUGCAACAAAAUAUAGAUUUAAUUUUUAGCUUAAACUUUGUUUCUACCUUAUGUUAGUGGACCUCAGUUAUCCAUCUGUAAAUUUAUUUUUAUUUGGCUAAAAUAAUCUAAAAGAAUAAUUUGGAUGGCCAAUUAGAAAUGCUCUUUUGAGCUGGGGCAUUUAAAGCUUUCCUUUAAUAUUUUUACCUGCUCAUUAUGAUUCCUCCUUUUAGUCUAAUAUCUUUCCAGUUCAUACUUGUUUUUAAUCAUUAAAUACUUUCUUCCUGGUUUGGAGACUAAGCUGAGAAACUUUUUUUAAACUUAAGCAUUGUCAUAUGCUAUUUUUUAAAAUUUGGCUUUCCUAGGAUUUUAAGAACAAUGAAAGUUAGCUUCACACCUUCAAAUGAUCUUGAAUGCGUGAAAAAUCAGUUUGAUUCCAGGGAUAUUUCUUGUCUUACAUGGUCUUUUCUUUGACAGUCUGUACACCUUUAUUAUUAGUUUUUGAGUUAUUUAUGUACCAGAUAUUAUACUUUUAAAUAUUUUAAUAUUCUCUGAUCUUUACAAUUAUUUAUGUUCAAAUUUUAGUUGGGAGUUUUGUUUCCUACUUAAGCUCAGGACUUGAUACCCUCUGAGAUGAGUGGCUUUGAGUGACAUGCUAACAGCAAUUUCAUAGUAAAUGUAAAUAAGGUCAGAGGAUCUAACAUAGAAGCUGAUGACGCAUUAAUGUAAAAAUGGAACUUAUUUUUGUCAAAAAUAAGAUGUACACUUGUCAUGAUUUAUAUAUGUUGACCUUUUGUGUUUACUGCUGUUUUGAAUAGAGCCAUGUUCAUUUUCUUUCCAGUUAGAGUAAGUACUUCUGUGGUUAAUGUAUAUUUUUAUUCUGGCUUUUAAAAUGGGAAUAAUUUGUAUGUAUCUGUGCAAAUAAUAAAUGCGCAUUUGG